GUUGGGUUAAGUCCCGCAACGAGCGCAACCCCUACUUUUAGUUGCCUCACGUUAAGCUGGGCACUCUAAUAGAACUGCCUGUGAUAAACAGGGAGGAAGUGGGGAUGACGUCAAGUCCUCAUGGCCCUUACGGGUUGGGCUACACACGUGCUACAAUGGUAAGUACAAUGAGAUGCCGAACAGCGAUGUUUAGCCAAACUCAAAAACUUACCUCAGUUCGGAUUGCACUCUGCAACUCGAGUGCAUGAAGCUGGAAUCGCUGUAAUCGGGGAUCACGUGCCCCCGGGAAUACGUUUCCCGGGUCUU
Molecule: ribosomal RNA, 306 nt
Filed under: uncultured Alphaproteobacteria bacterium
Lineage: Bacteria; Pseudomonadati; Pseudomonadota; Alphaproteobacteria
Description: bacterial SSU rRNA
Rfam family: Bacterial small subunit ribosomal RNA
Source: RNAcentral